GACAGCGAUAGCUCGGCUGGUAGAGCGUCCGCCCGAUAGGCGGAGUUGCCGGUUCGAUCCCGGCUCGUGACG
RNAcentral lists this transfer RNA (72 nucleotides) under Fasciola hepatica (liver fluke). Its description in RNAcentral is "tRNA-Ile". The stretch from base 6 to 67 matches the Rfam family "tRNA", at positions 5 to 66 of the family's 71-position model. Rfam says of the family: Transfer RNA (tRNA) molecules are approximately 80 nucleotides in length. Their secondary structure includes four short double-helical elements and three loops (D, anti-codon, and T loops). The record is from RNAcentral. Lineage: Eukaryota; Metazoa; Platyhelminthes; Trematoda; Plagiorchiida; Fasciolidae.